Molecule: small nuclear RNA, 103 nt
Filed under: Pteropus vampyrus (large flying fox)
Lineage: Eukaryota; Metazoa; Chordata; Mammalia; Chiroptera; Pteropodidae
Source: RNAcentral
GUGCUUCGGCAGCACAUAUGCUAAAAUUGAAACAAGACAGAGAAGAUUAGCAUGGGCCCUGAGCAAGGAUGACACGCAAAUUCAUGAAGCGUUCCAUAUAUUU